UACGUAGGGUGCAAGCGUUAAUCGGAAUUACUGGGCGUAAAGCGUGCGCAGGCGGUGAUGUAAGACAGGUGUGAAAUCCCCGGGCUUAACCUGGGAACUGCAUUUGGGACUGCAUCGCUGGAGUGCGGCAGAGGGGGAUGGAAUUCCGCGUGUAGCAGUGAAAUGCGUAGAUAUGCGGAGGAACACCGAUGGCGAAGGCAAUCCCCUGGGCCUGCACUGACGCUCAUGCACGAAAGCGUGGGGAGCAAACAGG
RNAcentral lists this ribosomal RNA (253 nucleotides) under uncultured bacterium. RNAcentral describes it as "partial 16S ribosomal RNA". It matches the Rfam family "Bacterial small subunit ribosomal RNA", at positions 524 to 776 of the family's 1533-position model. The record is from RNAcentral.